GAUGAACGCUGGCUGCGUGCCUAAUACAUGCAAGUCGAGCGAACGGACGAGAAGCUUGCUUCUCUGAUGUUAGCGGCGGACGGGUGAGUAACACGUGGAUAACCUACCUAUAAGACUGGGAUAACUUCGGGAAACCGGAGCUAAUACCGGAUAAUAUUUUGAACCGCAUGGUUCAAAAGUGAAAGACGGUCUUGCUGUCACUUAUAGAUGGAUCCGCGCUGCAUUAGCUAGUUGGUAAGGUAACGGCUUACCAAGGCAACGAUGCAUAGCCGACCUGAGAGGGUGAUCGGCCACACUGGAACUGAGACACGGUCCAGACUCCUACGGGAGGCAGCAGUAGGGAAUCUUCCGCAAUGGGCGAAAGCCUGACGGAGCAACGCCGCGUGAGUGAUGAAGGUCUUCGGAUCGUAAAACUCUGUUAUUAGGGAAGAACAUAUGUGUAAGUAACUGUGCACAUCUUGACGGUACCUAAUCAGAAAGCCACGGCUAACUACGUGCCAGCAGCCGCGGUAAUACGUAGGUGGCAAGCGUUAUCCGGAAUUAUUGGGCGUAAAGCGCGCGUAGGCGGUUUUUUAAGUCUGAUGUGAAAGCCCACGGCUCAACCGUGGAGGGUCAUUGGAAACUGGAAAACUUGAGUGCAGAAGAGGAAAGUGGAAUUCCAUGUGUAGCGGUGAAAUGCGCAGAGAUAUGGAGGAACACCAGUGGCGAAGGCGACUUUCUGGUCUGUAACUGACGCUGAUGUGCGAAAGCGUGGGGAUCAAACAGGAUUAGAUACCCUGGUAGUCCACGCCGUAAACGAUGAGUGCUAAGUGUUAGGGGGUUUCCGCCCCUUAGUGCUGCAGCUAACGCAUUAAGCACUCCGCCUGGGGAGUACGACCGCAAGGUUGAAACUCAAAGGAAUUGACGGGGACCCGCACAAGCGGUGGAGCAUGUGGUUUAAUUCGAAGCAACGCGAAGAACCUUACCAAAUCUUGACAUCCUUUGACAACUCUAGAGAUAGAGCCUUCCCCUUCGGGGGACAAAGUGACAGGUGGUGCAUGGUUGUCGUCGGCUCGUGUCGUGAGAUGUUGGGUUAAGUCCCGCAACGAGCGCAACCCUUAAGCUUAGUUGCCAUCAUUAAGUUGGGCACUCUAAGUUGACUGCCGGUGACAAACCGGAGGAAGGUGGGGAUGACGUCAAAUCAUCAUGCCCCUUAUGAUUUGGGCUACACACGUGCUACAAUGGACAAUACAAAGGGCAGCGAAACCGCGAGGUCAAGCAAAUCCCAUAAAGUUGUUCUCAGUUCGGAUUGUGGUCUGCAACUCGACUAUAUGAAGCUGGAAUCGCUAGUAAUCGUAGAUCAGCAUGCUACGGUGAAUACGUUCCCGGGUCU
RNAcentral lists this ribosomal RNA (1372 nucleotides) under uncultured bacterium. RNAcentral's name for it is "bacterial SSU rRNA". It matches the Rfam family "Bacterial small subunit ribosomal RNA", at positions 28 to 1381 of the family's 1533-position model. The record is from RNAcentral.